GCGGAAGUGGCGGAAUGGCAGACGCGUGGGCCUUAGGAGCCCAUAUCCGAGAGGGUGUAGGGGUUCAAGUCCCCUCUUCCGCA
Molecule: transfer RNA, 83 nt
Filed under: Actinoplanes digitatis
Lineage: Bacteria; Bacillati; Actinomycetota; Actinomycetes; Micromonosporales; Micromonosporaceae
Rfam family: tRNA
About the family: Transfer RNA (tRNA) molecules are approximately 80 nucleotides in length. Their secondary structure includes four short double-helical elements and three loops (D, anti-codon, and T loops).
Source: Rfam by way of RNAcentral